This 497-nucleotide ribosomal RNA is filed under the name uncultured bacterium. RNAcentral describes it as "partial 16S ribosomal RNA". It matches the Rfam family "Bacterial small subunit ribosomal RNA", at positions 28 to 507 of the family's 1533-position model. The record is from RNAcentral.
GAUGAACGCUGGCGGCGUGCCUAAUACAUGCCAGUCGAGCGAACGGACGAGAAGCUUGCUUCUCUGAUGUUAGCGGCGGACGGGUGAGUAACACGUGGAUAACCUACCUAUAAGACUGGGAUAACUUCGGGAAACCGGAGCUAAUACCGGAUGAUAUUUUGAACCGCAUGGUUCAAAAGUGAAAGACGGUCUUGCUGUCACUUAUAGAUGGAUCCGCGCUGCAUUAGCUAGUUGGUAAGGUAACGGCUUACCAAGGCAACGAUGCAUAGCCGACCUGAGAGGGUGAUCGGCCACACUGGAACUGAGACACGGUCCAGACUCCUACGGGAGGCAGCAGUAGGGAAUCUUCGGCAAUGGGCGAAAGCCUGACGGAGCAACGCCGCGUGAGUGAUGAAGGUCUUCGGAUCGUAAAACUCUGUUAUUAGGGAAGAACAUAUGUGUAAGUAACUGUGCACAUCUUGACGGUACCUAAUCAGAAAGCCACGGCUAACUACGUG